This 324-nucleotide ribosomal RNA is filed under the name uncultured eukaryote. RNAcentral's name for it is "partial 18S ribosomal RNA". It matches the Rfam family "Eukaryotic small subunit ribosomal RNA", at positions 1470 to 1796 of the family's 1831-position model. The record is from RNAcentral.
CCCUUAGAUGCUCUGGGCCGCACGCGCGCUACACUGGUCGAUGCAACGAGUUUCUUUCCUUGGCCGACAGGCCUGGGCAAUCUUUGAACAUCGAUCGUGAUCGGGAUAGAUUCUUGUAAUUUUUGAUCUUAAACGAGGAAUUCCUAGUAAACGCAAGUCAUCAGCUUGCAUUGAUUACGUCCCUGCCCUUUGUACACACCGCCCGUCGCACCUACCGAUUGAAUGGUCCGGUGAAAUCUCCGGACUGGCGUGAGUCGGAGCAAUCUGACAAACACCGGAAAGUUGAUUAAAUCUUACCAUUUAGAGGAAGGUGAAGUCGUAACA